Molecule: long non-coding RNA, 651 nt
Organism: Chiroxiphia lanceolata (lance-tailed manakin)
Lineage: Eukaryota; Metazoa; Chordata; Aves; Passeriformes; Pipridae
Exons: 3
Source: RefSeq, a predicted model, not a curated record
CUGGCAGAACCUUCACUUGGAGCUAUGAAGACCCACAGCAAGGACCUGAAGGAAGAGAAACCGCUGAUGCAGGAGAAACUGGAGAGGUCUGAAGCUAAGGAACCGAAAGAGCAUCAUAUCCAGAAGGAGUGUUUUGCUGCGUCAUUGAAGAGUGCCCCAAAGGAGAAGGAAAUAACAACUUCCAGGAACCUGCAAGGCCUUCCUCCUUCAUGCAACGUGUCUUUACCUGCAGCUAUCGGCCAGCUGCGAGAACGCCUUCAUUGGUAAGACAGUGGAGCAAAGCUUCACUUUUUGUGAUUGUGUAAAAACAACGGGACUUACUUGUAUCCCAGUGAGAUACUACUACAUGAUUUUCAAAGAUGCUUUUAUUUUAGAUGAGGUUCUUUCACACUGUUCCUUUGGGAUUUGUGCUCUUGUGGACUUCUGUCAUAAGGCCUGUACUUCUUUUUCAGUCUCGAAGUUGAGUACGCCAGGCUGGAAGCCACAGUCCAGCAACAAGCCCAAACCAUUGAAAUGAUUGAGAAGUUCAGGCAAGCCCAAAAGACAUGCAAGUGCUCCAUCAUUCACAGAGAAGCGAGGCCCAAGCUGCCAUAAGAAAGACAGCCAUCUCUCUGUGGCAGUAACUGUGGUUUAAACAUGCUUCAAAAUGGC